This 253-nucleotide ribosomal RNA is filed under the name uncultured bacterium. RNAcentral describes it as "partial 16S ribosomal RNA". It matches the Rfam family "Bacterial small subunit ribosomal RNA", at positions 524 to 776 of the family's 1533-position model. The record is from RNAcentral.
UACAGAGGUCUCAAGCGUUGUUCGGAUUCAUUGGGCGUAAAGGGUGCGUAGGUGGCGCGCUAAGUCAGGUGUGAAAUUUCGGAGCUUAACUCCGAAACUGCAUUUGAUACUGGUGUGCUUGAGGACUGGAGAGGAGACUGGAAUUUACGGUGUAGCGGUGAAAUGCGUAGAUAUCGUAAGGAAGACCAGUGGCGAAGGCGGGUCUCUGGACAGUUCCUGACGCUGAGGCACGAAGGCCAGGGGAGCAAACGGG